This 253-nucleotide ribosomal RNA is filed under the name uncultured bacterium. RNAcentral describes it as "partial 16S ribosomal RNA". It matches the Rfam family "Bacterial small subunit ribosomal RNA", at positions 524 to 776 of the family's 1533-position model. The record is from RNAcentral.
CACGUAGGCACCAAGCGUUGUCCGGAUUUAUUGGGCGUAAAGAGCUCGUAGGCGGUUCGGUAAGUCGGGUGUGAAAACUCUGGGCUCAACCCAGGAACUGCGUCCGAUACUGGAAGGCUUGAAUCCGGGAGAGGGAUGCGGAAUUCCAGGUGUAGCGGUGAAAUGCGUAGAUAUCUGGAGGAACACCGGUGGCGAAGGCGGCAUCCUGGACCGGUAUUGACGCUGAGGCGCGAAAGCCAGGGGAGCAAACGGG